GAGGGUAUAGCUUAGUGGUUGAGAGUGUGCUUCGCAUGCACAAAGUCCUGGGUUCAAUCCCCAGUACCUCA
This 71-nucleotide transfer RNA is filed under the name Camelus bactrianus (Bactrian camel). It matches the Rfam family "tRNA". From Rfam's summary of the family: Transfer RNA (tRNA) molecules are approximately 80 nucleotides in length. Their secondary structure includes four short double-helical elements and three loops (D, anti-codon, and T loops). Lineage: Eukaryota; Metazoa; Chordata; Mammalia; Artiodactyla; Camelidae. RNAcentral also lists the same sequence under 2 other names. The record is from Rfam by way of RNAcentral.